RNAcentral lists this unclassified non-coding RNA (22 nucleotides) under Mus musculus (house mouse). RNAcentral's name for it is "oocyte_clustered_small_RNA13792". The record is from RNAcentral. Lineage: Eukaryota; Metazoa; Chordata; Mammalia; Rodentia; Muridae.
GGCUGCCACCGAGCAGGCUCCC